RNAcentral lists this ribosomal RNA (633 nucleotides) under Riemerella anatipestifer. RNAcentral describes it as "bacterial SSU rRNA". It matches the Rfam family "Bacterial small subunit ribosomal RNA", at positions 637 to 1277 of the family's 1533-position model. The record is from RNAcentral. Lineage: Bacteria; Pseudomonadati; Bacteroidota; Flavobacteriia; Flavobacteriales; Weeksellaceae.
CUGUCAUGAGUAUAGUUGAGGUAGCUGGAAUGAGUAGUGUAGCGGUGAAAUGCAUAGAUAUUACUCAGAACACCGAUUGCGAAGGCAGGUUACCAAGUUAUAACUGACGCUGAGGGACGAAAGCGUGGGGAGCGAACAGGAUUAGAUACCCUGGUAGUCCACGCCGUAAACGAUGCUAACUCGUUUUUGGGCUUUAGGGUUCAGAGACUAAGCGAAAGUGAUAAGUUAGCCACCUGGGGAGUACGACCGCAAGGUUGAAACUCAAAGGAAUUGACGGGGGCCCGCACAAGCGGUGGAUCAUGUGGUUUAAUUCGAUGAUACGCGAGGAACCUUACCAAGGCUUAAAUGGGGAUUGACAGCUGUAGAAAUACGGUUUUCUUCGGACAAUUUUCAAGGUGCUGCAUGGUUGUCGUCAGCUCGUGCCGUGAGGUGUUAGGUUAAGUCCUGCAACGAGCGCAACCCCUGUCACUAGUUGCCAUCAUUAAGUUGGGGACUCUAGUGAGACUGCCUACGCAAGUAGAGAGGAAGGUGGGGAUGACGUCAAAUCAUCACGGCCCUUACGCCUUGGGCCACACACGUGAUACAAUGGCCGGUACAGAGGGCAGCUACACUGCGAAGUGAUGCAAAUCUCGA